UCCGUGUUGACCACGGCAGUCUCCUACGAGUCCCCGGCUUUACCCGCUGGCAACAUAGAACGAGGGUUGCGCUCGUUGCGGGACUUAACCCAACAUCUCACGACACGAGCUGACGACAACCAUGCACCACCUGUGAACCGGCCCCAAAAGGAGAAACCACAUCUCUGCGGCGGUCCGGUCCAUGUCAAGCCUUGGUAAGGUUCUUCGCGUUGCAUCGAAUUAAUCCGCAUGCUCCGCCGCUUGUGCGGGCCCCCGUCAAUUCCUUUGAGUUUUAAUCUUGCGAUCGUAGUUCCCAGGCGGUUCACUUAAUGCGUUAGCUGCGGCACCGAGGCAAAGCCCCAACACCUAGUGAACAUCGUUUAUGGCUAAGACUAC
Molecule: unclassified non-coding RNA, 375 nt
Filed under: uncultured bacterium
Lineage: Bacteria
Description: contains 16S-23S intergenic spacer region
Source: RNAcentral